Molecule: antisense RNA, 72 nt
Filed under: Streptomyces sp. Ag109_G2-15
Lineage: Bacteria; Bacillati; Actinomycetota; Actinomycetes; Kitasatosporales; Streptomycetaceae
Description: ASpks TB sRNA
Rfam family: ASpks TB sRNA
Source: RNAcentral
CUUGAUCGACCCCAGAUACAGCGGUUCGCCCUCCCGGCCCUGGCCGUAGGUGGCCAGCAGCGCCUGCGCCUC